GACGAACGCUGGCGGCGUGCUUAACACAUGCAAGUCGAACGGAAAGGCCCUGCUUUUGUGGGGUGCUCGAGUGGCGAACGGGUGAGUAACACGUGAGUAACCUGCCCUUGACUUUGGGAUAACUUCAGGAAACUGGGGCUACUACCGGAUAGGAGCUCCUGCUGCAUGGUGGGGGUCGGAAAGUUUCGGCGGUUGGGGAUGGACUCGGGGCUUAUCAGCUUGUUGGUGGGGUAGUGGCUUACCCAGGCUUUGACGGGUAGCCGGCCUGGGAGGGGGGCCGGCCACAUUGGGACUGAGAUACGGACCAGACUCCUAUGUGAGGCAGCAGUGGGGAAUAUUGCACAAUGGGCGGAAGCCUGAUGCAGCAGCGCCGCGUGCGGGAUGACGGCCUUCGGGUUGUAAACCGCUUUCGCCUGUGACGAAGCGGGAUUGACGGUAAUGGGUAAAGAAGCACCGGCUAACUACGUG
RNAcentral lists this ribosomal RNA (468 nucleotides) under uncultured bacterium. RNAcentral describes it as "partial 16S ribosomal RNA". It matches the Rfam family "Bacterial small subunit ribosomal RNA", at positions 28 to 507 of the family's 1533-position model. The record is from RNAcentral.